AGUUGGCGGCGGAGAUGGGCGGAGGCUUGGAGCCUGCGCCGUAGGGGGGCUGCUGCGAGACUCGGGCGCCUUCGGAGAGGGGUGGCGGCCCCGGGCGGCCCCUGGCUGAGAGAGGCCUGCGCGCCGCGGGGAGCCCCCGAGCCGCCGCGUCCCGGCGCGCCGUGGGGCGGGGAGCCCAGCCGAGGCCACAGCGCCCGUACCUGGCGCCCGCGGGAGUCGAAGAACUCGGCGGCCCCAGGGGAGCCGCAGCAGUUGGAGGAAGUCGAGGACCCGAAGAGGGGAAGCAUCGUUAAGGCAAGUGGUCGGAAGGGCAAGAAGAUUGGAGCCUGGACAAUCCUUAAAAGACCCUGAAAAAAUUGAUCCCUGAUACAGAAAUUGCACAAAUUUAAACCUUCCUCAUCUAGUGAACCAAAGGACUGUACAGGUCUGAGUCAAUUCCAGGUGUUGCUUAGUGUGCUGCUGAGUGGCCUGGGGGAAUGGUGUUUGCCCACAAGAAGUGAGAUGUAGACCACAUGAAUGGAAUAUCCACUGGGUCUCUGCCCAGCUCUGGAUGGGGGGCUAGAGGUGCCAGACAGGGGAAAAGGCCAAGGGGAGGGAACUAUUCUCGAUCUGUAUUUAAAAGUAUGCUUUUCUCUCCUCCCUAUCCUCGAUAUGUAUUAAAAAGUAUGCUUUUCUGUUUGCUUUC
RNAcentral lists this long non-coding RNA (685 nucleotides) under Dasypus novemcinctus (nine-banded armadillo). RNAcentral's name for it is "lncRNA (ENSDNOG00000051812.1)". Lineage: Eukaryota; Metazoa; Chordata; Mammalia; Cingulata; Dasypodidae. The record is from RNAcentral.